This 762-nucleotide ribosomal RNA is filed under the name Bradyrhizobium japonicum. RNAcentral's name for it is "bacterial SSU rRNA". It matches the Rfam family "Bacterial small subunit ribosomal RNA". The record is from RNAcentral. Lineage: Bacteria; Pseudomonadati; Pseudomonadota; Alphaproteobacteria; Hyphomicrobiales; Nitrobacteraceae.
GGGUUACCUACCUCACCUCGCGACGGCUGAGUCACGCGUGGUAACGUACCUUUUGGUUCGGAACAGCACACGGAAACUUGUGCUAGUGCCGGACAAGCCCUUACAGCGAAAGAUUUAUCGUCGAAAGAUCGGGCCGCGUCUGAUUAGCUAUGUGGCGAGGUUUUGACUCUCCAAGGCGACCAUCCCUAUCUGGCCUGAUAGGAUGAUCAUCCACAUUGGGACUGAGACACGGCCCAAACUCCUACGGGAGGUUGCCGUGGUCAAUAUUGUACAAUGGGGGCAACCCUGAUCCACCCCUGCCGCGUGAGUGAUGAAGGCCCUAGGCUUGUAAAGCUCUUUUGUCCCGUAAGAUAAUUUCGGUACCGCUCGAAUAAGCCCCGGUUAACUUCGUGCUAGCAGCCGCGGUAAUACGAAGGGGGCUAGCGUUGCUCGUAAUCACUGGCCGUACAGGGUGUGUAGGCGGCUCUUUAAGUCAUGCGUGAUAUCCUGGAGUUCAACUCCAGAACUGCCUUUGAUACUGAGGACCUUGAAUUCCUUAGAGGUGAGUGUUACUGCCAGUGUCCCCGUGAAAUUCUGUAUAUAUUCGCAAGAACACCCACUGGUGAGGGAAGCUCACCUGGCCCCGAUACUGUACGCUGUUUACACGCAAAGCACUGGCCGAGCAAAACCGGAAUUUAGGAUUUGCUUGGGUAAGUCCAUCUCCCGGUAAACAGAAUGAAAAGUCACCCCCGCUUAAGUGGGGGUUUACCUCCCACUAAUUGG